Molecule: ribosomal RNA, 2308 nt
Filed under: Clostridiales bacterium Firm_08
Lineage: Bacteria; Bacillati; Bacillota; Clostridia; Eubacteriales
Description: bacterial LSU rRNA
Rfam family: Bacterial large subunit ribosomal RNA
Source: RNAcentral
UCAAGCUAACAAGAGCACAAGGGGAAUGCCUUGGCACUGGGAGCCGAAGAAGGACGUGACAAGCUGCGAUAAGCCGUGGGGAGGUGCAAAUAACCUUCGAUCCACGGAUUUCCGAAUGGGGAAACCCGCGUAGAGUCAUUUCUGCGCAUAUGCGACUGAAUACAUAGGUCGUAUAAGGGAACCGCCCGAACUGAAACAUCUAAGUAGGGCGAGGAAGAGUAAUCAACCGAGAUUCCGCGAGUAGUGGCGAGCGAAAGCGGAAGAGGCCAAACCGGGAGUAGUAAUAUUUCCGGGGUUGUGGACAGCGUAAUCCAACGAUAGGUUAGCCGAAGUGUGUGGGAAAGCACACCGGAGAAGGUGAGAGUCCUGUAGGCGAAAACCGACAAUAGGAGGCUGUAUCCGGAGUACUGCGGGACACGAGGAAUCCCGUGGGAAGCAGGGGGGACCACCCUCCAAGCCAAAAUACUACCCAGUGACCGAUAGUGAAGCAGUACCGUGAGGGAAAGGUGAAAAGGACCCCGGGAGGGGAGUGAAAAGAACCUGAAACCUUGUGUUUACAAGCACACAAAGCACGUUAAAGUGCGAUGUGGUACUUUUUGUAGAACGGUCCGGCGAGUUUUUCUCAGUAGCGAGGUUAAGGGCCUAAGGUCCGGAGCCGAAGGGAAACCGAGUGUGAAAUGCGCGAAAGUUACUGGGAAAAGACCCGAAACCGGGUGACCUAUCCAUGAGCAGGCUGAAGAGAAGGUAAAACUUCUUGGAGGGCCGAACCGACCCCCGUUGAAACGUUGGCGGAUGACUUGUGGAUAGCGGAGAAAUUCCAAUCGAACUCGGAGAUAGCUGGUUCUCCCCGAAAUAGCUUUAGGGCUAGCCUUAUAUUAGAUUACCGGAGGUAAAGCACUGAAUGGUUGCGGGCCCGAUAAGGGUACCAAGACUUAUCAAACUCUGAAUGCCGGAUAAUUGAUGUAUAGGAGUCAGACUGUGUGAGAUAAGUUUCAUAGUCGAAAGGGAAACAGCCCAGACCUACAGCUAAGGUCCCAAAUAUAUGCUAAGUGGAAAAGGAUGUGCAGUUGCUAAAACAACCAGGAUGUUGGCUUAGAAGCAGCCACUCAUUAAAAGAGUGCGUAAUAGCUCACUGGUCGAGUGAAUGUGCGCCGAAAAUUCAACGGGGCUAAGCAUAUAACCGAAGCUUAGGCAAUAGUCGAUUUUAUUGAUUGUUGGGUAGGGGAGCGUCGUAUAAGGGGUGAAGUCAGAUCGGAAGGACUGGUGGACUUUAUACGAGUGAGAAUGCCGGAAUGAGUAGCGAGAAUUAUGUGAGAAUCAUAAUGGUCGAAAAUCUUAGGUUUCCAGGGGAAGGUUCGUCCGCCCUGGGUAAGUCGGAAGCUAAGGCAAGGCCGAAAGGCGUAGUCGAUGCACAAACGGUUGAUAUUCCGUUACCGCCGAAACUGUUAAGUAAGGGGACACAUUUGAAUAGAGGGACCCGGGCGUUGGUUGACCCGGGCGUAAGGGACUGAAAUUUAGUAGGGAAGUCCUCGAUGUCAAGUGGCGAGAAAAGCCUUAUGGAUUGGUGAGGCGUCCGUACCGCAAACCGACACAGGUAGAUGAGGAGAGAAUCCUAAGACCAGCGGGAGAAGGGUUGUUAAGGAACUCGGCAAGUUGACUCCGUAACUUCGGAAGAAGGAGUGCCACAGCGAUGUGGCCGCAGAGAAUAGGCCCAGGCAACUGUUUAACAAAAACACAGGUCUCUGCUAAAUCGAAAGAUGACGUAUAGGGGCUGACGCCUGCCCGGUGCCGGAAGGUUAAGAUGAGAGGUUAGCGCAAGCGAAGCUUUGACUUGAAGCCCCGGUAAACGGCGGCCGUAACUAUAACGGUCCUAAGGUAGCGAAAUUCCUUGUCAGGUAAGUUCNAAGAUGCCGGUUACCCGCGACUAGACGGAAAGACCCCAUGGAGCUUCACUGCAGCUUGAUAUUGAGUUUCGAUAUUUCAUGUACAGGAUAGGUGGGAGGCUAAGAACUCAGGGCGCCAGCCUUGAGGGAGCCGACGUUGGGAUACCACCCUUGGGAUAUUGGAAUUCUAACCUGCGCCCGUGAUCCGGGCGGGGGACAUUGUCAGGUGGGCAGUUUGACUGGGGCGGUCGCCUCCCAAAAAGUAACGGAGGCGCUCAAAGGUUGGCUCAGCAUGGACGGAAAUCAUGCAUAGAGUGUAAACGCAUAAGCCAGCCUGACUGCGAGGGUGACAGCCCGAGCAGGAACGAAAGUUGGAGUUAGUGAUCCGGCGGUAUGUGAGUGGAAAUGCCGUCGCUCAACGGAUA